UACGUACCGUACGAACGUUAUUCGGAAUCACUGGGCUUAAAGAGUCCGUAGGCGGCUUUAAAGGUGAGGUGUGAAAUCCCACGGCUUAACCGUGGAAUUGCGCUUCAAACCAUAAGGCUUGAGGGAGAUAGAGGAAAGCGGAACUGAUGGUGGAGCGGUGAAAUGCGUUGAUAUCAUCAGGAACACCGGUGGCGAAGGCGGCUUUCUGGGUCUCUUCUGACGCUGAGGGACGAAAGCUAGGGGAGCGAACGGG
Molecule: ribosomal RNA, 253 nt
Filed under: uncultured bacterium
Lineage: Bacteria
Description: partial 16S ribosomal RNA
Rfam family: Bacterial small subunit ribosomal RNA
Source: RNAcentral